Molecule: transfer RNA, 85 nt
Filed under: Helianthus annuus (common sunflower)
Lineage: Eukaryota; Viridiplantae; Streptophyta; Magnoliopsida; Asterales; Asteraceae
Description: tRNA HanXRQr2_Chr14g0666311
Source: RNAcentral
AUCGCUUUAUAGCCUAGUGGCGUCAUGGUGGUGGGAUAAGACUUUAAAACCAAUAGGUCUUGGGUCCGAUUCCCACAAGGGGAUU